CUUUUCCUAAUAGAGUGAUUUAAGCCUUCAUUUUUAGACAUCUAAGCCCUUGGUGAUCAUCAGCAUAAAAUGUGACAAAUUAAACAAAAGCAAGACAGCACAUCAGAGAACAACUCUGAGGUGGAAUGAUUGGGAACCAAUGAAUAGUUGUUCAGUAAAUGGUUUAUAUUUUACAGAUGAUGAAACUGAAACACAAAAAAUUUAGAUUAACUCUUAGGUGACAAAGCCAGGAUUGAAGCUCAUGCGGUCUGGCUCCAGAACAACUCUUCUUCAUAGUUACGUUAUACUGCCCCUGCAUUGUUGGUAUUGAAAAUAACUGAUACCGUGCUUCCAGAAGAUUUUUCUAACAGUGUUUGCAAGCUAUAAAAUAGUGCUUUCACUUAGAAAAGGCUAGACGUGGUGGUUCAUGCCUGUAAUCCCAGCACUUUGAGAGGCCGAGGCACCAUGCUGGGAGAUAAGGAUCCAACAUAAGACAAACAGUGCUGAUGCUUUUGGAAAGCUCAUAUUCAAGCUGGGGAGACAAACAACAUACAAGAGGGCUCUGAGAGAUUUCAUUUCUGUCCUGCUGAUGAAGUCUACGUUCAUUCAGGGCCUGCUGUGGAAGACCAGCCCCAAAGGAAUGAGACUACAUACACUAAAAAACCAAAAAGCCUAAAAAAAGAGAUGAUAUUUUAAUUUCAAAAGCUU
Molecule: long non-coding RNA, 687 nt
Filed under: Homo sapiens (human)
Lineage: Eukaryota; Metazoa; Chordata; Mammalia; Primates; Hominidae
Description: non-protein coding CCDC18-AS1:68
Source: RNAcentral